Molecule: ribosomal RNA, 309 nt
Filed under: uncultured bacterium
Lineage: Bacteria
Description: bacterial SSU rRNA
Rfam family: Bacterial small subunit ribosomal RNA
Source: RNAcentral
GAUGAACGCUGGCGGCGUGCCUAACACAUGCAAGUCGAACGGACGAGAAGAGCUUGCUCUUCGAGUUAGUGGCGGACGGGUGAGUAACGCGUGAGCAACCUGCCUUUCAGAGGGGGAUAACAUCGGGAAACCGGUGCUAAUACCGCAUGAUGUGCGAGAACCGCAUGAUUUUCGUACCAAAGGAGCAAUCCGCUGAAAGAUGGGCUCGCGUCUGAUUAGAUAGUUGGUGAGGUAACGGCCCACCAAGUCGACGAUCAGUAGCCGGACUGAGAGGUUGAACGGCCACAUUGGAACUGAGAUACGGUCCAG